CUUGGCCAUGUGCCAGCGAAACAUUGCCCUCAACAGCCACCUGACUGCCACUGGAGGUGGUAUAGUUAAAGUCAAAGAACUGGACUGGCUGAAGGACGACCUCUGCACAGAUCCCGAGGUCCCCUUCAGUUGGUCACAAGAGGAAAUUUCUGACUUGUAUGAUCACACCACCAUCCUGUUUGCAGCCGAAGUGUUUUACGACGACGACUUGACUGAUGCUGUGUUUAAAACACUCUCCCGACUCGCCCACAGAUUGAAAAAUGCCUGCACAGCCAUACUGUCGGUGGAGAAGAGGUGAGCUUUGCGCCACGGGAACCGUGCUGACGUCCCGAGUAUCAGCAGAACUCUCACCUCCUAAUUGUGUCCUUGUCAGUGUCAACUCAGUGCCACUUAUUGAGCACCUACUGUGUGCCAGGCCUGUGCUCAUCCUUUGUGUACGUUACUGCACUGAAUCUGCAUCCUAGCCCUGUGUGCAGGCGCUGCUGUCCCACUUUACUGAUGAAGAGAGGAAGGCUGGGAAGCAUCAGGGGCCUUGCCCAGGGCACAGCUAGUUAGUGAUAGACAGGGACUUGAAUGCCGACUGUACUGGAACCUCAAUGCUUGGCCAGCACACACGGUCGAGAGCUCCUCUUCCUGAUUGUUCUC
This 645-nucleotide small RNA is filed under the name Pongo abelii (Sumatran orangutan). RNAcentral's name for it is "retained intron". Lineage: Eukaryota; Metazoa; Chordata; Mammalia; Primates; Hominidae. The record is from RNAcentral.